GAAGCGUCAACCUCGCACCGCGCAAGCGGCUAAGACGAGGAGCGUCCGGGGGUAACGCCGGACUGUG
This 67-nucleotide small RNA is filed under the name Micromonospora rhizosphaerae. RNAcentral describes it as "Micromonospora sp. 211018 Transposase-2 RNA". It matches the Rfam family "Transposase-2 RNA". The record is from Rfam by way of RNAcentral. Lineage: Bacteria; Bacillati; Actinomycetota; Actinomycetes; Micromonosporales; Micromonosporaceae.